Molecule: long non-coding RNA, 1993 nt
Organism: Papaver somniferum (opium poppy)
Lineage: Eukaryota; Viridiplantae; Streptophyta; Magnoliopsida; Ranunculales; Papaveraceae
Exons: 2
Source: RefSeq, a predicted model, not a curated record
UCAUCAUUCAAUUGGGCGAUAGAAAUCAUAUAAACCCUAAUCAUAUUUUGGGAUUUCCUGUUCUCGUCAUCCUCUUGUCGCAUCAAUCACAAGUACUCUGAACGAUGAUGCUCAUCAGGUAACGAUCUAUUCAUCCUCUUCUUUCAAUUUCAUAGGAAUAGGGAUUGUAUUUUUCCUCAUUCUAAGAAAGUAGGGUUUCAUUAGAAAAUGAAAACAGAAAUGAUAAAAAGAAGAUCACCGAGAACCCGAGAUAAAAUAAGUAAUAGUAGCAGCAAUGGAGCGGAUCAUAUCUGUCGUUUUCUUGAUUGUGAUGAUUUAAUUUUGGUUCACAUACUGAGCAGACUUCGUGCCAAAUAAUUAAUGAGAUUAAAGUCUGUAUGUAAACAUUGGAGAUCCAUAAUCAAACAAGACACAUCCUUAAUCAAAUUGCACGAAGCAAAUCGAUGUAAGGAUAUUACUACUCUUCUUGUAUAUCCAGCAUGGCCUCUUUCUGAUAGCGAAGAACCACAACAUCCUCUUCCUGGAAGCGUAGAAAUCAGGAGUAUUUUGUUCCCCCAAAAGGAUUUGAAGCUGGAUGAUGACCGUAAAAGAAGAUCCACAAACUCUAGGACGAAAACUGAUGUUACUUUAUUUUCCAGUCAUAAUAUGAUUCUUGAUGUUAGAUUCAAUAUGCUCGAACCAGUUCAUGGAUUGUUAUGUUUUGUCAAACAUGAUGAGCCUAAUUCGGUUCUCAUUUGCAAUCCGUGCACAGGAGAAAAAACACCUUGGAUUGAGAUAAGAACAAGUGAAGUAUUUGAUAGCAGCUUUGGGCAGGAACAAAUAGCUAAUUGUCGUGGAAAUAUGAGACUCAGCUAUGAUUAUUUGUUUGGAUUUGGAUUCGACCAAACUACUAAUGAACACAAAGUGUUUUGUGUAUGUAAGAUUGUUCUAUGUAAGAUUAUAAAUAUGCGGGCUUGAGAGUUUCCUAUGGUAGUUAGUCGUAAAGUUAUUUGCGGGAUUCUCACAGUAGGUGAGAAUAGAUGGAGGAAGAUUGAAGAUCAUCUUUUUCCGCUCAAUACUGUGCAGAAUGAAAAAUCGGUUUAUGUGAAUGGUUCCAUAUGUUGGAUCCAUUACCAAAGACCCCCGAACAAGAAUGAAGUCAUUGUGUUUGAUGUUGGAAGAGAGACAUUUAGGGUGAUCAUUUUCCCGGAUUGCAUCCCAAAGGAAUUCGUAUAAUACCGGAAAAUUAGUUAAUGUAUUAGUAGCAGUGGAUGGUCAUUUAGCUGUCUUGUACCAAAAAGGAGUCGACCUGCUCAACUUGUCAAUUUUUAAUGAUAAUCAUGGUGGUGCUGGUGGUGAUUGGAUCAGUGAAACAAUCCAAAUGCCGUGCCCAUGGGGUGCACUGGAGAAUUUAGAUUUUAAAGACAUUACUGGCACAUAUUUAACAGUCAUAAAAUUCAUAACAUGCGGACAGAAACGCCGGGAAUGCUUGCGUUAUUAUAAUAAAAAAGAGAAAAAAUAUUACAAGAAUCAGUUUGAGUGUUCAUUGGAUACUACUGGUCCUUAUGUUGCUGAAUAUCAGAUUAGUCCUUUUUGCGAGAAACUGUUGCCUGUUCAGACCAUUCAGCAUGGUGAAGAAAUCAACUGAUUUUCUGAUACAUAAUUGUUCUCCGACGACAUCAGUUAGGAAUGCCCGCCAGAUGCAAGUUACAUGCAAGAUUCAAAAAGUGCCACUAGCUUGCAGACAAAGCUCUCUCAACAGGCGAAAAUUAAGCACUUACUGGUGGAGAAGAAGCAGUCUUACAAACAAGUGCUUAAGAAAUUACCUCAUUCAGAUGAAUUACGCACAGCACUUGCAAGUUGGAAUAUCUAUAGAUUCUGGUUUUAUAUUUUUAUUUUAUUGAAAUGAACUACUGCUCUAGAUUUAGCAGUUUUGUUAAGCAGACAUUUGUAUCUGCAUCUUGCUUUCAAUAUGUUGUGCAAGAGAUUUAACUGUACGCGAGUUUUCAUCCUA